UCGGUAGAGUGAAACUGCGGAUAGCUCAUUAAAUCGCCUCUAUUUUGUUUGAUAGUCCUCCACUGGAUAUCCGUGGAAAAUCUAGAGCCAAUACUUGCACUGAUAUCUAACAAGCUAAUGCUUCUUGUUAGAUGCAUUUAUUGGAUAUCCGAUCGCUCACAUUGCGAGCGUUAGGUGAUUCUAAAUGACUUUGCUGAUCGUAUGGCCUUGUGCCGACGACAGAUCAAACAAGAUCGCGCCCUAUCAAUUUGUUGUUAGGAUAUUUUCCUAACAAGG
RNAcentral lists this ribosomal RNA (276 nucleotides) under Tetracapsuloides bryosalmonae. RNAcentral describes it as "partial small subunit ribosomal RNA". It matches the Rfam family "Eukaryotic small subunit ribosomal RNA", at positions 73 to 349 of the family's 1831-position model. Lineage: Eukaryota; Metazoa; Cnidaria; Myxozoa; Malacovalvulida; Saccosporidae. The record is from RNAcentral.